This 1635-nucleotide long non-coding RNA is filed under the name Olea europaea (common olive). RNAcentral describes it as "long non-coding RNA (OEUR_LNC001466)". The record is from RNAcentral. Lineage: Eukaryota; Viridiplantae; Streptophyta; Magnoliopsida; Lamiales; Oleaceae.
GUAAAGAAGACACAUGGGAUGAUCGUACUGUUGUAUAUCCACCCGUAACAAGCAAAACAUUCCCAGUCCUGGAAAUUCUCUGGUUGCUCUUUGGGUAAUAGUUUCCUCCCAAAAAAUUGUUUCUCUCUAUACCCAAUUGCACUAUUAAUAUCAGACACAAAUGCCUGUUUCGGCUGCGGCAGUGGGCUCAAUUUCGGCCUUUCUCUCACAUUUCUUUGGUACUGAGAGUGCUACUGUCAAAAACUCACAGCCAUCUUUGAGCCUCACCCGCAGUUCAUCAGACAGAAGGCAGCCAGUGAUGGGUGCGCCUAAAUUCUCAGUCUCCAGUGACAGCAACACUAAAACUGACGGGGUGGUGGAUCAGUCUUCUUUGUCGCCUGAUGAAACAAAACAAGCUCGGGUGUGUUCCCUCAACAAUUUUUUUUUUAAAUUGUGGCUUCCCAAGUUUAUUUAAGAAGAGCGAAAAAGAAAUGCUAAAUUAAUGAAUAAACUGAAGAACACAUAUCCGAUAUUCCUGGAUUGAUGGGGUUUCACCUUGACUUGCAUUGCUAUGACCGAGAACAAGAUAAAGAAAAACACAAAAGUUGCGAAGAAAGAGAAGGGAUCAGGUAGAUUCUGACUAUAGUCAUAAAAAAAGUCAUAUUAAGUUUAGCCAAACAUGCUCUAACUGGCUAUACACUCUAAAAGGUCAUAGUUUAAUCAUAACUUCAUAUUAUGCUAAUAUUGGUGAAAUUAUAUUGAUCGUUAUUGUUUAGGCUGUAUUAUAGGGGUGUGGCGUGGUGUUCUGAGAUUAAAAUUAGAUAAAAUUUAAGAAAAGUUUUAAGAGGAUAAUUUUCUGGCCCCUGUUAAAAAGCAAGAAAACAGAGUUUUAAGGUACUUGAGUGGACGAGUAGAAGUCUAUACCAUAAAUUUGGCAGUUAUCCCCCAGCUACUUGUUUGUUGUAGUGUUUAUGAACUGAUCUGGGAGAGUCUUGAACUGCUUUUGAUUUUAGUUGCAGGUAGCUCUGGUGUGAAUUCUCAGCAAGUAGUACCUCUUAAAAGUGACUGAUUUUGCCAAUCGGAGAAUACAUGUCGUGAGCAACUUUGUUUCAUUCAUGUCUUAUUAGUGCUAGCUAUUGAACUUUUCAUGCAAACUAGUGAAUUGCAUGUCCAGCUGAAAUAUGCAGCCAAAUUCCAACACUAAGUUUGAAUAAAAUUAGUCCAUAGGACAAAAAGAAAUCAUUAACAAUUUAGCAUAGUUUCUAUUUUCUUUUGUUUCUUUGGCCUUUUCUGUCUUCAGGGGGAAAGAUAUGGCAGCCUCAAUGGACCAUUAUAUUAAUUAAGAGUGUUUAAACAAUUGUUGCAAUACUCUGUCUGACUUACUGAUAUAAAGAAUCCGAAGAGAAACUGUGUAAUAAUGUUUAAGUUGUGCUUCUAGAAUAGAUCCACCUGGUUGGGUUAGUUAUUUUGAUUUGACAUAAAUUCUUUCUAAAGGCUGCUUACAUAAUACUAUGUUACUUAAAGAAAUAGAGGUCUGCUGACUGGAAAGUUGCAAGGGCGUAUAAUGAGAAAUGACUCAUUUAUGACGGCAGGAUUAAAGGUUUCAAUGUUGGCAGAUUUUACUCUCUUCUUGGUUUUCUUCCUUUUCCACUGUUG